RNAcentral lists this long non-coding RNA (835 nucleotides) under Homo sapiens (human). RNAcentral's name for it is "non-protein coding lnc-GDF6-3:1". The record is from RNAcentral. Lineage: Eukaryota; Metazoa; Chordata; Mammalia; Primates; Hominidae.
UGAGGGAAAUCCUGCAUAUCCAAGCUGUGUAGGGUGGCAAUCAAGUAUAUACUAAGUUCUGGUUGUUGCUCAAUGACGAGCACAGCAUCAAGCCUGCCAGCACUUACAAUAGAACAGUGAUCUGUAGCCAGACCAGAUCUUCAGGUGUUUCAAUAAGGCUACAGGUAGUUGAUUGAUUUCUUUUGCCAUCUAGGAUGAUUCUAUAUCAAGGACUAUGAAAUAUGUUUGCUCACAUCAUUUUGACCAGAUCUUCAGGCCAGACGACUUUGUCUUUAGUCAGUCUGGAGCAGGCUAUGGCCACAGAAGGAAGGAAGCAGAGCUGACAGCCUCCAUCGUGAUAUCGUAUCUAAGGUAUCUAGAGCCAUUACAGGCCUCAAGGCUUCCUAUGGACUCAAUGGCUAGAUGGGGGCAUGGGCUCCGGCAUGGGCACCCUUCUCAUUUGCAAGGUCUGUAUCCAGGACCCUGAUCACCUCAUAACAUCUAGCACAAGCCCUUCACCCAAAGUUUAGGCACCAUGGCCAAAUACCAUACCAUAUUCUCUGCCCACUGGUUGGUGGACACCAUAAAUAAUGAGGUGCUCUACUUUGUUUCUGAAACUUCAAGCUGACCCUCUGACAUUGACAGUGACCUGAGCCACGCCAUCUUGAUCUGCCUGUCUCCACUUUCCAGGCCAGUUCAAUACAAAUUUCCACAAACUGGUGGUCUGCCUGGCCCCCGUUCCUUAUGUUACUUCUUUAUGUCAGAUUUUGCCUCACUCACUAGCUUGGGAAACUACUAGUACUCGGCUCUGACUGCAGCAAAGCUCACCCAGCAAACUCUCAACGCCAAAACAAGA